GGUCAGGGGAUUUCAAAUUUGAAUGUGGAUCAGAAUCACUGAUAGGGCUUGUUAAAACAGAUUUCUGCAGCUGCCUCUCUUCCCUCAGUCUCCAGGAGUGCUGUGGUGGGCAGAAAGGCAGCUGACAUUCUGUGAUGUCUCCAUUCUGUGUUCCUUCAUGAGCCCAGGGAGAAUGCCAUGGUUGGCAUCCAACAGCUCAGUCACAUAGAGAUUUGAUUGACUUGAUUGCUGGUAGUGAAGGGUAUCUUUGGUUAUGAUCUGCUAUUUUCAACUGAGACC
Otolemur garnettii (small-eared galago) is the source of this 279-nucleotide small nucleolar RNA. NCBI's taxonomy places the organism in Eukaryota, Metazoa, Chordata, Mammalia, Primates, Galagidae. The record is from Ensembl.